This 372-nucleotide unclassified non-coding RNA is filed under the name uncultured Gammaproteobacteria bacterium. RNAcentral describes it as "contains 16S-23S intergenic spacer region". Lineage: Bacteria; Pseudomonadati; Pseudomonadota; Gammaproteobacteria. The record is from RNAcentral.
UCCGGUUUGUCACCGGCAGUCUCCCUAGAGUGCCCUUGCGUAGCAACUAGGGACAAGGGUUGCGCUCGUUGCGGGACUUAACCCAACAUCUCACGACACGAGCUGACGACAGCCAUGCAGCACCUGUGUCCAGGUUCCCUUUCGGGCACACCCCCAUCUCUGGGGGCUUCCUGGCAUGUCAAGGGUAGGUAAGGUUUUUCGCGUUGCAUCGAAUUAAUCCACAUAAUCCACCGCUUGUGCGGGCCCCCGUCAAUUCCUUUGAGUUUCAGCCUUGCGGCCGUACUCCCCAGGCGGGGUACUUACUGCGUUAGCUUCGUUACCAAGGAAUUGCUUCCCCGACAACCAGUUGACAUAGUUUAGGGCGUGGACUAC